GAUGAACGCUGGCGGCGUGCCUAAUACAUGCAAGUCGAGCGAACAGACGAGGAGCUUGCUCCUCUGACGUUAGCGGCGGACGGGUGAGUAACACGUGGAUAACCUACCUAUAAGACUGGGAUAACUUCGGGAAACCGGAGCUAAUACCGGAUAAUAUAUUGAACCGCAUGGUUCAAUAGUGAAAGACGGUUUUGCUGUCACUUAUAGAUGGAUCCGCGCCGCAUUAGCUAGUUGGUAAGGUAACGGCUUACCAAGGCAACGAUGCGUAGCCGACCUGAGAGGGUGGUCGGCCACACUGGAGCUGAGACACGGUCCAGACUCCUACGGGAGGCAGCAGUAGGGAAUCUUCCGCAAAGGGCGAAAGCCUGACGGAGCAACGCCGCGUGAGUGAUGAAGGUCUUCGGAUCGUAAAACUCUGUUAUUAGGGAAGAACAAAUGUGUAAGUAACUAUGCACGUCUUGACGGUACCUAAUCAGAAAGCCACGGCUAACUACGUG
This 497-nucleotide ribosomal RNA is filed under the name uncultured bacterium. RNAcentral's name for it is "partial 16S ribosomal RNA". It matches the Rfam family "Bacterial small subunit ribosomal RNA", at positions 28 to 507 of the family's 1533-position model. The record is from RNAcentral.